Molecule: long non-coding RNA, 4258 nt
Organism: Oncorhynchus keta (chum salmon)
Lineage: Eukaryota; Metazoa; Chordata; Actinopteri; Salmoniformes; Salmonidae
Exons: 3
Source: RefSeq, a predicted model, not a curated record
GACAUGAUCAUGGCUUCUACCUAUAGCCCCCUACACAGUGGACAUGAUCAUGGCUUCUACCUAUAGCCCCCUACACAGUGGACAUGAUCAUGGCUUCUACCUAUAGCCCCCUUCACUGCCCUCCUCCACCCUCCUCCUUGAUCCUCACCUUGUCUCUUACAAGGGCCACUGUGUAUGAAGGAGAUGACUGGGUUCUGUCCCAUCCUUGGACACUGACACCUUUUCCUAACUAAUAGGGCAGAUGUGAAAUGGCACCCUAUUCCCUAAAUAGUGCACUGUAUAUUUGACCAGAGUCUUGUACAUGUAGGUAACAGGGUGCCAUUUGAGACCGAGCCUAAAACACAAUCUGCAAAGCAAUUUAGAUAAUCUACCCAGGAUGCAACGGUACACCUUUCUGCUGUACUUGUGCCAGUUGCCAGGGGCUGUCUGUGUGCUGGUGCUAUUAUAUGUUUCCCAAAUGGAACUCCAUUCCCUAUAUAGUGCACUACUUUUGACCAGGGACCAUAGGGCUCUGGUCAAAAGUAGUGCACUACUUAGGGAAUAGUGUGUCAUUUGGGAUGUUAUCUCCUUCUCUGCUGGGACCAUACAAACCUGCCUUAUUCCCUUUGGGGGCAAAUCCUAACUUCCACUUAAGUUGAAUUUUCACUAAGUCAUGAGGAUGUGAAUGGGAGAGAAUUUGUCUUAAGUGCAAGUUAGGAUUUGACUCUUAGUCCGAAACGAUCCGUCACGUUGGAUCCCGAUUCAUCUUUUUGUUUAGUUUUCUAUUCCAGAGAAAUACUUGACUUUCUUAUCUUCUGUACUUUUAGACUUGUAUUAUGACAUUACAGAAGAAGACAUGCAUCACUAGGGACAGAGGACUACUGUUAUAUUAUUUUGAUUCAUUUUUUUUUUGCUAACUUCUCGAUAGCUAUAUAUGCAUUGUUUUCUACAUGUACAGGGCAACUAGGUAUGUAAUAUUUAAUGUGCUCCCUCUAAAUAUUCGUAUUAACAGAAGAUGUAACUAGUCUGUCAAUGACACCCCUCCCCCUCCCCAAUGUUCCUCCUACUGUAAAUGAUUUGCCCUCUUGUUCUAGCAAGUAUUGCAGGGUUUUGUUGUAAUGACGUGUAAAGGUUUUGGAUCAGCUGGACCUGGCAUAACGCCGUCCUCUUGCUGAGAUGGCAAACGGGCUCAAGAUUGUGUAAUAAUAAUCGCUCUUUUUGUAAAUUCUUUUCUAAAGGAUAUUUUUGUAUAUGCUGUUUCUCCUCUCUUCAGUUUCUGCCCUGCUACAACAGGGACAGUCCACUCCAGUCCGGGAGGACUUCAAGUCUCCUGGGUUUCUUUCUCUCUCGCUCCUUCUAAUCAGACUAAUUCAAACCCGGUGAUGACAUCGCCAGAUGAUUAGACUCUCUGGCCAAUCAGAGACAUGAUUCAAUCAAUCAAUGAACUAAACCAGGAGUACUUUGGCGUUCCAGGCCUGGAGUUGAAUUCCCUUGGACCCUAACUGCUACCACUAGCAUUUGUUUUGGAGCCCGCCUGUGCCUUUUGGAGAGUGCUGCCCCGCCCCCCCCUUCUCCCAUCAUCAGCAGCAGCAGCACGUGUACUGACAUGCUCAGCCGUGUUGGUUGGUCAACUCCUCUUGGAAACUGCUUGCAUCCCAAAUGGCACCAUAUUCCCUAUAUAGUCCACUACUUAUGAACAGACCAGACUCUGGUCAAAAGUAGUGCACUAUGUAGGGAAUAGGGCCCUAUGGGGGCUCUGGUCAAAAGUAGUGCACUAUAUAGGGAACAUGGUGCCUUUUUGGGUCCCAGACCCUCUCUGACACCCCUCCUCCUCCCACACAACGCAGACCUGUUUGUAUGUUGCAGAAAUCAAUGGACCCGUCAGUAAAGACUAAAGACAUCAAGUAGAACAUGCUUCCUUGUUUUCCUACACUGUUUUUUAAAGUCUCUAGAGGGGCUGGGGGAGUAGCGCUGGGGCUUCCUGUGUGUGUGGGGAUUCUCUCUCUCUGUGGGUGUGUGGAUUCUCUCCCUCUCUCUGUGGGUGUGUGGAUUCUCCUCUCUCUGUGGGUGUGUGGAUUCUCUCUCUCUCUGUGGGUGUGUGGAUUCUCUCUCUCUCUGUGGGUGUGUGGAUUCUCUCUCUCUCUGUGUGUGUGGGGAUUCUCUCUCUCUGUGGGUGUGGGGAUUCUCUCCCUCUCUCUGUGUGUGUGGGGAUUCUCUCUCUCUGUGGGUGUGUGGAUUCUCUCCCUCUCUUUGUGGGUGUGUGGAUUCUCUCCCUCUCUUUGUGGGUGUGUGGAUUCUCUCUCUCUCUCUGUGGGUGUGUGGAUUCUCUCUCUCUCUCUGUGGGUGUGUGGAUUCUCUCUCUCUCUCUGUGGGUGUGUGGAUUCUCUCUCUCUCUCUGUGCGUGUGUGGAUUCUCUCUCUCUGUGCGUGUGUGGAUUCUCUCUCUCUGUGCGUGUGUGGAUUCUCUCUCUCUGUGGGUGUGUGGAUUCUCUCUCUCUUUCUGUGGGUGUGUGGAUUCUCUCUCUCUCUGUGGGUGUGUGUGUGGGGGAAUUCUGUGUGUGUGUGUGUGUGUGUUGUUAAACUCCCUGCCCCCAGGGGGAGGGGAGGUGGAUGAGGACGUGGUGUCCUCCUCCCUAGUGAUCAAACAUGAGCUUUAUGAUCGACUGAGACCAUAAAGAACAAACCACACAGACACAUACAGGCCUAGUGUCUGUGAGACUGACUGCAACCCAGAGGAAUGAGAGACUGUGUGUGUGUGUGUGUGUGUGUGUGUGUGUGUGUGUGUGUGUGUGUGUGUGUGUGUGUGUGUGUGUGUGUGUGUGUGUGUGUGUGUGUGUGUGUGUGUGUGUGUGUGUGUGUGAUCAUGCUGUAUGUGUCCAGAGGGUACAUUCACUGACUUGGCAGGAAGUGAGCUCAGCUAGAGUUCUCCAUCAACCUGGAGUUUUACACACACACACAUGGUUCCAUAUAAGGUCCACUUCCACCUGGGUUUAUCCUUCAUCUGUUCUAAUGUGACACAUUUUCUCACUGUGGGUUGGCACACACUUCAAUUGGAAGGGUUUUAGUAUGUUUUCAAUGAAAUGAGUUCCCACACACCUAGGGGUUUCCACCCUGUGUUUGACACACUUCCUCCCUGUGACUACAGGUGGAGGAGUUAUUGAUGAGGCUUGUCACACAGACACACACUUCCUCCCUGUGACUACAGGUGGAGGAGUUAUUGAUGAGGCUUGUCACACUGACACACACUUCCUCCCUGUGACUACAGGUGGAGGAGUUAUUGAUGAGGCUUGUCACACUGACACACACUUCCUCCCUGUGACUACAGGUGGAGGAGUUAUUGAUGAGGCUUGUCACACUGACACAGACACACACUUCCUCCCUGUGACUACAGGUGGAGGAGUUAUUGAUGAGGCUUGUCACACAGACACACACUUCCUCCCUGUGACUACAGGUGGAGGAGUUAUUGAUGAGGCUUGUCACACAGACACACACUUCCUCCCUGUGACUACAGGUGGAGGAGUUAUUGAUGAGGCUUGUCACACUGACACACACUUCCUCCCUGUGACUACAGGUGGAGGAGUUAUUGAUGAGGCUUGUCACACUGACACACACUUCCUCCCUGUGACUACAGGUGGAGGAGUUAUUGAUGAGGCUUGUCACACUGACACACACUUCCUCCCUGUGACUACAGGUGGAGGAGUUAUUGAUGAGGCUUGUCACACUGACACAGACACACACUUCCUCCCUGUGACUACAGGUGGAGGAGUUAUUGAUGAGGCUUGUCACACUGACACACACUUCCUCCCUGUGACUACAGGUGGAGGAGUUAUUGAUGAGGCUUGUCACACUGACACACACUUCCUCCCUGUGACUACAGGUGGAGGAGUUAUUGAUGAGGCUUGUCACACUGACACACACUUCUAUGGGGGCAGGUUUCUGGUAUGUAUUGGGUUCACACUUCUAUGGGGGCAGGUUUCUGGUAUGUAUUGGGUUCACACUUCUAUGGGGGCAGGUUUCUGGUAUGUAUUGGGCUCACGUUCCAAUUACAUUACUUACACGUUUCAUUCCCGAAGCUACUGGUCCCAUUGAGGAAGCUCGGUUUAAUGAAUAAAGAUAUACAUCUGGAAUGAAUUGUGUCCUGGCCAACACUCUUCUUCACUUAUCUGGCUCGGGUCCUGGACUAGUCUCUCAGAUAAUUAUUGAGAAAGUGGAGCUGUGCAUUGAUUUAUUAAUAAGUGUGCCUAGUAGUCGUGGUGCAUCCUUCAACAUGAUCUGGUGAG